This 76-nucleotide transfer RNA is filed under the name Parcubacteria group bacterium RIFOXYD2_FULL_52_8. Its description in RNAcentral is "tRNA-Asn". It matches the Rfam family "tRNA". Rfam says of the family: Transfer RNA (tRNA) molecules are approximately 80 nucleotides in length. Their secondary structure includes four short double-helical elements and three loops (D, anti-codon, and T loops). The record is from RNAcentral.
UCCGCGGUAGCUCAGCUGGUAGAGCGGCUCCCUGUUAAGGAGUUGGUCCCAGGUUCGAAUCCUGGCCGCGGAGCAA